AGCGAACGCUGGCGGCAGGCUUAACACAUGCAAGUCGAGCGGGCAUAGCAAUAUGUCAGCGGCAGACGGGUGAGUAACGCGUGGGAACGUACCUUUUGGUUCGGAACAACUGACGGAAACUCCAGCUAAUACCGGAUAAGCCCUUACGGGGGAAGAUUUAUCGCCGAAAGAUCGGCCCGCGUCUGAUUAGCUAGUUGGUGAGGUAAUGGCUCACCAAGGCGACGAUCACUAGCUGGUCUGAGAGGAUGAUCAGCCACAUUGGGACUGAGACACGGCCCACACGCCUACGGGAGGCAGCAGUGGGGAAUAUUGGACAAUGGGCGCAAGCCUGAUCCGGCCAUGCCGCGUGAGUGAUGAAGGCCCUAGGGUUGUAAGGCUCUUUUGUGCGGGAAGAUAAUGACGGUACCGCAAGAAUAAGCCCCGGCUAACUUCGUG
Molecule: ribosomal RNA, 435 nt
Filed under: uncultured bacterium
Lineage: Bacteria
Description: partial 16S ribosomal RNA
Rfam family: Bacterial small subunit ribosomal RNA
Source: RNAcentral